Molecule: ribosomal RNA, 500 nt
Filed under: uncultured bacterium
Lineage: Bacteria
Description: partial 16S ribosomal RNA
Rfam family: Bacterial small subunit ribosomal RNA
Source: RNAcentral
AUUGAACGCUGGCGGCAGGCUUAACACAUGCAAGUCGAGCGGAGUGAUGGUGCUUGCACUAUCACUUAGCGGCGGACGGGUGAGUAAUGCUUAGGAAUCUGCCAUUUAGUGGGGGACAACAUUGCGAAAGGAAUGCUAAUACCGCAUACGUCCUACGGGAGAAAGCAGGGGAUCUUCGGACCUUGCGCUAAAUGAUGAGCCUAAGUCGGAUUAGCUAGUUGGUGGGGUAAUGGCUCACCAAGGCGACGAUCCGUAACUGGUCUGAGAGGAUGAUCAGUCACACUGGAACUGAGACACGGUCCAGACGCCUACGGGAGGCAGCAGUAGGGAAUAUUGGACAAGGGGCGAAAGCCUGAUCCUGCCAUGCCGCGUGUGUGAAGAAGGUCUUCGGAUUGUAAAGCACUUUAAGUUGGGAGGAAGGGCAGUAAGCUAAUACCUUGCUGUUUUGACGUUACCGACAGAAUAAGCACCGGCUAACUCUGUGCCAGCCGCCGCGGUAA